AGUGUCAUAUUCUUCUUCUUUCGAAUGAAUGAACCUUUUGAGUCUAAAGGUUUGCCACACUUCAGGCGUGCAACAGAUAAAUCAUUUACUGCCUCAUUAUAUUUUGUCCAACAGGGACAUCAAUUCUUGUAGGCACAUUUGCAGCAAGUGUAUAUGAUUUCAUCACUUUCGUUGUAUCAUUCAAUUAUUCUUACUUCAUUUUCUCAUUGAUUGCUUCGUGAAUCAAAAUAAGACAAAUUUUCUUCGUUCUUCUGGAACGGUCUUUUCUUAUCAUUCUUCUGGAAUGAUAUUUUCUCAUCGUUCUUAUGGAACAAUGUUAUUUUCUCCCCCUAAUGGUGGGAAAACUGUCUUAUCAUAGUCCGCAAAUCAUGCGGUAAAUAUAUCCCCAGUCAAGGGUUCCAAAUGUUGAAUGAUAGAUGGUGGAUCGAAUUCAACAUAAAUUCCCAGUUUGUAUUGAUGCCUUAUUUUAGUGUGUUGUGGCAGUCUUAC
Molecule: long non-coding RNA, 489 nt
Filed under: Malus domestica (apple)
Lineage: Eukaryota; Viridiplantae; Streptophyta; Magnoliopsida; Rosales; Rosaceae
Description: long non-coding RNA (MDOM_LNC007971)
Source: RNAcentral